UACGGUGGGAGCAAGCGUUGUUCGGAUUUACUGGGCGUAAAGGGCGCGUAGGCGGCCAGCACAAGUCAGUUGUGAAAUCUCCGAGCUUAACUCGGAAAGGUCAACUGAUACUGUGCGGCUAGAGUGCGGAAGGGGCAACUGGAAUUCCAGGUGUAGCGGUGAAAUGCGUAGAUAUCUGGAGGAAUACCGGUGGCGAAGGCGGCAUCCUGGACCGAGAUUGACGCUGAGGAGCGAAAGCUAGGGGAGCAAACGGG
RNAcentral lists this ribosomal RNA (254 nucleotides) under uncultured bacterium. RNAcentral describes it as "partial 16S ribosomal RNA". It matches the Rfam family "Bacterial small subunit ribosomal RNA", at positions 524 to 776 of the family's 1533-position model. The record is from RNAcentral.